Molecule: ribosomal RNA, 427 nt
Filed under: uncultured Halomonas sp.
Lineage: Bacteria; Pseudomonadati; Pseudomonadota; Gammaproteobacteria; Oceanospirillales; Halomonadaceae
Description: bacterial SSU rRNA
Rfam family: Bacterial small subunit ribosomal RNA
Source: RNAcentral
UGGGGAAUAUUGGACAAUGGGCGAAAGCCUGAUCCAGCCAUGCCGCGUGUGUGAAGAAGGCCCUCGGGUUGUAAAGCACUUUCAGUGGGGAAGAAGGCCUCGGGAUUAAUACUUCCGAGGAAGGACAUCACCCACAGAAGAAGCACCAGCUAACUCCGUGCCAGCAGCCGCGGUAAUACGGAGGGUGCGAGCGUUAAUCGGAAUUACUGGGCGUAAAGCGCGCGUAGGCGGUCUGAUCAGCCGGUUGUGAAAGCCCCGGGCUCAACCUGGGAACGGCAUCCGGAACUGUCAGGCUAGAGUGCAGGAGAGGAAGGUAGAAUUCCCGGUGUAGCGGUGAAAUGCGUAGAGAUCGGGAGGAAUACCAGUGGCGAAGGCGGCCUUCUGGACUGACACUGACGCUGAGGUGCGAAAGCGUGGGUAGCAAACA